Molecule: ribosomal RNA, 849 nt
Filed under: uncultured bacterium
Lineage: Bacteria
Description: bacterial SSU rRNA
Rfam family: Bacterial small subunit ribosomal RNA (bases 208-836)
Source: RNAcentral
CGCCUCCCCGUCGACGGUUUGGCGUCGCCGGGCCUCGACCUUUCCAGAGAGGCCUCUAAAGUCGCGAAACGACGUUCGAGGUGCGAACAGUUAGGAACCCACAAAACAUACAACAUUCGGAAUCCAACGCGUUCCACGCUGGCGACUCAACAUGAGAAUGUGUGAACCCUUUUUUUUUUUGAGCAACACCCUAAGUCUUCCGGCUGAGGGAUUAGCGCCGGCAAGGGUGAAAUUCAAACGGAUUCUACGGGGAACCCGCACCACACGGUGGAGCAUUUGUUAUAAUUUUAUGCAACGCGAAGAACCUAACCUGUCUUGACAUCCAUGGAACCUGCAAGAGAUGCGGGGGUGCCGUAGGGAACCAUGAGACAGGUGCUGCAUGGCUGUCGUCAGCUCGUGUGGUGAGAUGUUGGGUUAAGUCCCGCAACGAGCGCAACCCUUGUCCUUAGUUGCCAUCAUUUAGUUGGGACUCUAAGGAGACCGCCGGUGACAAACCGGAGGAAGGUGGGGAUGACGUCAAGUCAUCAUGGCCUUUAUGACCAGGGCUACACACGUGCUACAAUGGUAAGUACAGAGGGAAGCCAACGCGCGAGCGGGAGCUAAUCCCAGAAAACUUAUCGUAGUCCGGAUUGGAGUCUGCAACUCGACUCCAUGAAGUCGGAAUCGCUAGUAAUCGCAGAUCAGCAUUGCUGCGGUGAAUACGUUCCCGGGUCUUGUACACACCGCCCGUCACACCAUGGAAGUGUAUUGCACCAGAAGCAGGUAGCCUGACCGCAAGGAGGGCGCCUACCACGGUGUGGUCCAUGACUGGGGUGAAGUCGUAACAAGGUAAAUCGAAUUCCCGCGGCC